RNAcentral lists this ribosomal RNA (539 nucleotides) under uncultured Massilia sp. Its description in RNAcentral is "bacterial SSU rRNA". It matches the Rfam family "Bacterial small subunit ribosomal RNA", at positions 84 to 619 of the family's 1533-position model. The record is from RNAcentral. Lineage: Bacteria; Pseudomonadati; Pseudomonadota; Betaproteobacteria; Burkholderiales; Oxalobacteraceae.
CCUGGUGGCGAGUGGCGAACGGGUGAGUAAUAUAUCGGAACGUACCCAAGAGUGGGGGAUAACGUAGCGAAAGUUACGCUAAUACCGCAUACGAUCUAAGGAUGAAAGCAGGGGAUCUUCGGACCUUGUGCUCCUGGAGCGGCCGAUAUCUGAUUAGCUAGUUGGUGAGGUAAAGGCUCACCAAGGCUACGAUCAGUAGCUGGUCUGAGAGGACGACCAGCCACACUGGAACUGAGACACGGUCCAGACUCCUACGGGAGGCAGCAGUGGGGAAUUUUGGACAAUGGGCGAAAGCCUGAUCCAGCAAUGCCGCGUGAGUGAAGAAGGCCUUCGGGUUGUAAAGCUCUUUUGUCAGGGAAGAAACGGUGGGAGCUAAUAUCUCCCACUAAUGACGGUACCUGAAGAAUAAGCACCGGCUAACUACGUGCCAGCAGCCGCGGUAAUACGUAGGGUGCAAGCGUUAAUCGGAAUUACUGGGCGUAAAGCGUGCGCAGGCGGUUUUGUAAGUCUGAUGUGAAAUCCCCGGGCUCAACCUGGGA